GACGAACGCUGGCGGCGUGCUUAACACAUGCAAGUCGAACGGAAAGGCCCUGCUUUUGUGGGGUGCUCGAGUGGCGAACGGGUGAGUAACACGUGAGUAACCUGCCCUUGACUUUGGGAUAACUUCAGGAAACUGGGGCUAAUACCGGAUAGGAGCUCCUGCUGCAUGGUGGGGGUUGGAAAGUUUCGGCGGUUGGGGAUGGACUCGCGGCUUAUCAGCUUGUUGGUGGGGUAGUGGCUUACCAAGGCUUUGACGGGUAGCCGGCCUGAGAGGGUGAACGGCCACAUUGGGACUGAGAUACGGCGCAGAAUCCUACGGGAGGCAGCAGUGGGGAAUAUUGCACAAUGGGCGGAAGCCUGAUGCAGCAACGCCGCGUGCGGGAUGACGGCCUUCGGGUUGUAAACCGCUUUCGCCUGUGACGAAGCGUGAGUGACGGUAAUGGGUAAAGAAGCACCAGCUAACUACGUG
Molecule: ribosomal RNA, 468 nt
Filed under: uncultured bacterium
Lineage: Bacteria
Description: partial 16S ribosomal RNA
Rfam family: Bacterial small subunit ribosomal RNA
Source: RNAcentral